ACUCCUACGGGAGGCAGCAGUGGGGAAUAUUGGACAAUGGGCGCAAGCCUGAUCCAGCCAUGCCGCGUGUGUGAAGAAGGCCCUCGGGUUGUAAAGCACUUUCAGUGAGGAAGAAAGCUUGUCGGUUAAUACCCGGCAAGGACGACAUCACUCACAGAAGAAGCACCGGCUAACUCCGUGCCAGCAGCCGCGGUAAUACGGAGGAUCCAAGCGUUAUCCGGAAUCAUUGGGUUUAAAGGGUCCGUAGGUGGACGAUUAAGUCAGAGGUGAAAUCUUGCAGCUCAACUGUAAAAUUGCCUUUGAUACUGGUUGUCUUGAGUUAUUAUGAAGUGGUUAGAAUAUGUAGUGUAGCGGUGAAAUGCAUAGAUAUUACAUAGAAUACCAAUUGCGAAGGCAGAUCACUAAUAAUAUACUGACACUGAUGGACGAAAGCGUGGUAGCGAACAGGAUUAGAUACCCUGGUAGGCUCUG
Molecule: ribosomal RNA, 471 nt
Filed under: uncultured bacterium
Lineage: Bacteria
Description: bacterial SSU rRNA
Rfam family: Bacterial small subunit ribosomal RNA
Source: RNAcentral